This 5293-nucleotide long non-coding RNA is filed under the name Marmota monax (woodchuck). Lineage: Eukaryota; Metazoa; Chordata; Mammalia; Rodentia; Sciuridae. The record is from RNAcentral.
AUUACAUUCACAAACAUUAUGUUUUGGUACAAAAUAUUGUCAUAUAGUAUGCAUUGUGUGUGUGUGUGCGUGUGUGUGUGUGUGUAUACUAUGCUAGAAGUAACCAUAAUAUAGGAUGAGUGGCUGUACUGAUACUAGAAAAUAAUUUAAGACAAAACUUGAGACUAGAAAGAAUGGACAUUCUAUAAAGGGAUCAAUCAAUCCAGAAGACAUAACAAUUACAGGUAUAUAUGCACAUACCAAUGAAACUCCAAAUUACCUGAAGCACAAACAGAUCCAUAUCCUUUAUUAGUAAAGAUUCAAAAAUCCUAAAAAUUAUACUAGCAAACUAAAUCCAGAAACAUACAGAAAGGAUGAACAAGCAGGAUUUAUUUCAGGAAUGCAAUUUGACAUGUAAAUAUAAGAAAAUAUAAUGUAGAAUAUUAAUUUAGUAAGGGGAAAAACAACCAUCUCAAUAGAUGUAGGAAAAAAACAUUUGACAGCAUUCAACACACUUUCAUUAUAAAAAAAACACUGAAAAUACGAAGCUUAAAAGGGACAUUUCUUUGAUAAAGAAUAUCAUGAGAAUCUUAUAACUCCGACUGUGGUUGUUGGGGAAAGAUGGAAAACUAUCUCUAGCAUCAGGAACAAGACAUCUGCUACCUCCAUUUAAAAAAAAAAAUUACUGUAGUUUCUAGCCAGUGCAAUUAGGCAAGAAAAAAAAUGAAAGGAAUUCAGAUUGAAAGAGAAGUAAAACUAUCUUUAUUGUCAGAAGGCAUGAACUUGUAUAGAGAAAAGGCAUUUACCAAAAACUAUUGAUUUAAUAAAUGGAUUCAACAUUGUUACGUUACAAAAUUAAUAUACAAAAAUCUAUUGUAUUUCUAUACCAUAUCAAUAUAUAAUCUAAAAUGAAACUACAAAAACAGUUCCAUUUACAAUAGCAUCAAGAAGAAUAAAAUACUCAGAAACAAAAAAAGUGCAACUAUUGUACAGUGGAAAUUAUAAAUCACUGCUGAAUGAAAAGGUAUAAUAAAUAAAAAGACAGUAUAUGUUUCUGGGUUAGAAGACUUCAUAUUUUUAAGAUAGCUAUAUUCUUUGAUUUUUUUAUUUGUUUUUUAGAUAUACAUGACAGUAGAGUAUAUUUUGACAUAUUAAACAUACAGUCUUUGUAUCAGUCAGGAUUCUCCAGGGAAAAAGAAUCAAUAGGGAGAGCAGUCAUAAAGGGAGGAGAGAGAAAAAAAAUAUUUAUAAAGACAUUUAUUUGUUUCAAGGAGUUAACUUGCAUAAUUAUGGGGGGGGGCUGUUAUACAACAUCUUCAGGGCAGACAAGCUGGAAAGUCAAGCAGGAAUUGAUGUUGAAGCUUGAGAGAAUUUUUUUCUUUCCAAGAAACCUAUUUAUACUCUUUAGGCCUAGCAAACUUGUUGCUUAAAGCCCUCCAUCCACAUUGUAAAAGAUCUCCUUAAAGUGCACUAAAGGUUUUUUAACCAUAUCUACAAAACACCUGUAUAGAUACACUGACAUUGUUACUUGAUUAAACAACAGCAUUAACCAAGCUGCCUCAUAAAACUUAACAACAUUCCCCCAAAUUAUCCACAGACUCAAUGCUUACUAUUAUUAUCCAUAUUUAACAUUUAAAGGAACUUAGGAAUACGGAAUUGUACAUCAACCUUUUUGUACUAAAAUUCAAGAGCUUAUACUGAAACUUAUAGGGAAAUGCAAGAGACUAAAUGGCCAAAAUAAGAACAAAAAUUAACAAAGCUGCAGUAAUCAAGACAGUGUGAUAAUGCCAUAAGGAUAUAGAUCAAUGUCAGACAAUUGCGAGUAUAAAACUAAGCCCUUUGGUUUAAUGUCAGUUGAGUUUCAUCAACAGUGCCAAGACAAUUCAAUGAAUAAAUAUGAGUUUUUCAAUAAAAGAUUCUGGGACAACUGGAUAUCUAUACACAAAAGAAUAAAGUUGGAUAACUAGCUCACAAAAUUCAUAAAAAUUAACUCCAAAUGUAUAUAUGAGCCCAUUUACAUUUACACUUAAAUAUGAAAAAUUAAAACCUUAAAACUUUUAGAAGAAACCAUAGGUAUUAAUCUUUGUAACUCUAGAUGAGUCAAAGUCUUAUUAAAUAGGACACCAGGAGCACAAGAGACAAAAACAGGAAUAAAUUGGCCACAUCAAAGUGCUUAUAAAAAAACUUGUGCUUCCAAAUUUUUAUAAAGAAAGUGAAAAGGAAGCCUAUAGAAUUGGAGGAAAUAUUUGCAAAUCAUAUAUAUGGUAAGAGACUUGGAUCCAGAAUAUAUAAAUAACCAUUACAACUCAACAACAAAAAGACCCACUUAAAUGUAGUGAAAUGAUUUGAAUAGUCAUUCCUUCCAAGACUGCAGAAAAAUAGCUAAUAAGUACAUGAAAAAUGCUCAACUUUGUAGUCAUUUGGGUAAUGCAAGUCACAAUCACAAUGAGAUUGCAAUAAAGGCAUUCACUAAAAUGGUUAGGAAAAAAUAAUAAACACAUUGGUGAGGAUGUGAAGAAUAUGGAACCUUCAUACACUGAUAGUUGGAAUGUAAAAUGUGAUAGCCACUUUGAAACACAGUCUGGUAAUUCUUCAAAAAGUUAAUUGUGAAGUUAUCACACGACAUAGCAAUUCCACUACUAGGUAUAUGCUUAGUAGAAAUGAAACAUAUUAAAAUCUGUACAUGAAUGUUCAUAGCAGCAUCAUUCACAAUAACUAAAAAGGGCAAAUGACACCAACUGACUGAUAAUAAUAUGUUGCAUAUUCAUACAAUAAAGGGAACAAAAAACUCACACAUUGACAACAUGAAAGAGCCUUGAAAACAUGAUGCUAAGUAAAAGAAGGUGGACAUGAAAGGCCACAUAUUGUAUAAUUCCAUCUAUAUGAAAUAUCCAGAAGAGGCAAAUCCGUAAGACAGGAAAUAGAUUAAUAGUUGCUAGGCACCAGAGUAAGGAAAGUUUAGGGAAGUAACUGCUGAUAGGUAUAGAGUUUCCUCUUGGGGAACUGAAAUAUUCUGAAAUUGGAUAGUGGUGUUGGUUGUACAACUUUGUGAGUUUACUAAAACUACUUGAUUGUUUUAGAGAUCUUUGGUUUUCUGUGGUUCUCCUCUGUUUCAUGUGAUGGUGGGUCAUUCUGAUGAUGUAGAUCUCCAUAUUCCUAAGUUUCUUUAAAUAUUAAUUAUGGAUAAUAAUAGUAAUGUUCUUAUAGGUUUCUUAUAAAAAUUGAAUUAAAUAAAAUUGAAUUGAAGAUGUUAGAACAGGUCUUGGCACGUGGUAAAUGAGAAAUAUUAACUAUCUUAUAUAACAAAAUAAAAGUCUAAAACACAAAAUAGGGCUUGAAUAAGAGCUUAAUGUUUAUUAUCACUGUUUUUGUUAUUGCUGCUGCUUCUAUUAUUGUAUUAUACCUUUUGGAAACUGACACCAGCAUAUUAACUAUCCCAGUGUCUUUGUUGGACAACCCCUACCUAAAUGAGCAUGUCAUUAUAGGAAAAGAAAGGAUGAUUUUCCUUUUGCAUGUAUUGUUAGACAUAUAAUAUGUGACUCUGUAGAAAAUAUAUGAAAUUCAGAAAGGCUCAAACAUAGAAAUAUAAAAAUUGCCAAAUUAAAAUAGCCACCAUAUAUAAUAUACAUUGUAAAUCUAUCUUUAUCUAUAUCUAUGUAUCAUCUACCUAUCUAUAUUUAAUUCAUGAAAAUGAGGCAUCUCAUUUUUUGAGCGUGGUAUUUCUAAGAAAUGUCACACACUGAAAGAAAUCAUGUACUAGAAUAUUGGAGCUCAAAGAAAUCUUAGGAUAUUGUCUGCUAUUUUGUGCCUUGAAAACAUGCCCUCUUCUUUCCCCUGUGCUCUAUUCAUUAUUCCUGAGGUUCACACUGCAGACAUCAGACAAUUUACUGUUCUACAAUGUAAUUUUGGAUGAAAACUGAAACCAAAUAUUUGCUUGCAGAUGAGGAAAUGGAGAAAUUGAAAUCUCUUGCCCCUAGUAUACACCUAGUAAGCAAGCCUUUAGCUUCCAGACCAGGGCACUUCAAACUGUUCCACACUGACUGGAUUGACAUGCAUUAGUGUCAUUGUCAAGUGUUAUGAAGCAGAUCAUUUGUAUUUGAAACUGAGAUAUUUAAUUUUAUUUCUUAAUGUUUACAUACUUUCAUAAGUUUAAAGCCAACUUCAGGAACCCUGUAUAAGAAAGGGGCUUGAACAAAAGUGUCUUCCUAAAUAGGCACCAAUUGAACAACUAAAGAAAUUUAAAAAGAUGGCAGGGGACUUGUUUUGUUUCUGGAAACCAGGUAAGGGUGCUAGUCACAUAGUAAAAUUUCAAAGAAUUCUUUCUAAAUGUUAGGAAUAUAUCAGCAUAUUGAAGAGGGGAAUAUUGUACUGUGAAAUGUCUUCUGAAAAGGCACUGUGCAUUCAGGACCAUAGAAAGAGGUGAUCCUAGCAAUGGUCAAUUUUCAUCACCUCAUUUGGAAGGGCAAGGGCUGCAGGCAAGAAUGGACCUUAGAACAAAUGUGAAACAAACCUCCUUGAGUCCCCUUUGACAAUGAAGAGCCAUAGUAUCAACAAACAACUACCCUGGAAGGUUGCAGGAUGUACAUUGCUACCAAGAGCAGAUAGCCAGCUGUACAGAUGGCUGCAUUUCUGAUAACAGCUCUAGGAAGAAGGCCAGGAAGAGCCAUCAAAUGGAGGGUAACAAAAAAGGCACAUGAACACAGAAAGCUGUCACACAUCUCAGUGGCUUUACUAAACAGAGGGAAGACAUCACACAAAAAAAAUUCUUUAUGUAGCUUCUCAAAACACCAACACUUUCUCUAUUCUUUGCUCUACCUUCUUCACUAGUUGUUAUUUUUAAUAGUUUUCAGUCCACUCUCCAUUGUAAUAUGUGAUAGAAAAAUGUCAAUAGCCAUCUGGUAGAUAUUGAAUCUAUACAAGGAAAAUCCACUUACGUUUGUUCUGUGUAUAUGAGAAAACCUGACUAACAAUGACUAAAAGUAUGAAAGGCCUUAUAUUUCAGAGAUUAACUGACCACAGGUAGACAAUCCGGGGCUUAUGCAGCACUCAAGGACAACAACAGAGAUUCAAGAUUUUUCUAUCUUCUUGCUCUACUAGCCUUAGUGCAUGGAUUUUCCCUUCAUAACUGUAUCCCUAAGCUUCACAUCUGAAUUUUAGGCAGAAAUACAUAAUUUACUUCAAGAACAUGCUAAUUUAGUGUACACCCAUGCCUAAAUACUUAAUAUUUCACAUAAAAAGUUUCUAGUAAGUCUUACUCAGAAACAUUUGCUUGUGUUUUAUUGGCUAGAGACUGUGUCACAUAGCCACACUCAGC